CCUACGGGAGGCAGCAGUGGGGGAUAUUGCACAAUGGGGGGAACCCUGAUGCAGCGACGCCGCGUGGGUGAAGAAGCGCCUCGGCGCGUAAAGCCCUGUCAGCAGGGAAGAAAAUGACGGUACCUGACGAAGAAGCCCCGGCUAACUACGUGCCAGCAGCCGCGGUAAUACGUAGGGGGCAAGCGUUAUCCGGAUUUACUGGGCGUAAAGGGGGCGCAGACGGCGAUGCAAGCCAGGAGUGAAAGCCCGGGGCCCAACCCCGGGACUGCUGUUGGAACUGCGUGGCUGGAGUGCAGGAGGGGCAGGCGGAAUUCCUGGUGUAGCGGUGAAAUGCGUAGAUAUCAGGAGGAACACCGGUGGCGAAGGCGACCUGCUGGACUGCAACUGACGUUGAGGCCCGAAAGCGUGGGGAGCAAACAGGAUUAGAUACCCGAGUAGUC
RNAcentral lists this ribosomal RNA (440 nucleotides) under uncultured bacterium. RNAcentral describes it as "partial 16S ribosomal RNA". It matches the Rfam family "Bacterial small subunit ribosomal RNA", at positions 338 to 795 of the family's 1533-position model. The record is from RNAcentral.